UGGGGAAUAUUGCGCAAUGGGGGAAACCCUGACGCAGCAACGCCGCGUUAAGGAAGAAGGCUUUCGGGUUGUAAACUUAUGUCUGGUGGGAAGAUAAUGACGGUACCACCGGAGGAAGUCACGGCUAACUACGUGCCAGCAGCCGCGGUAAUACGUAGGUGGCGAGCGUUGUCCGGAAUUACUGGGUGUAAAGGGCGCGUAGACGGGUAGAUAAGUUAGAUGUGAAAUACCGGGGCUUAACUCCGGGGCUGCAUUUAAAACUGUUUAUCUUGAGUGCAGGAGAGGGAAGCGGAAUUCCUAGUGUAGCGGUGAAAUGCGUAGAUAUUAGGAGGAACACCAGUGGCGAAGGCGGCUUUCUGGACUGUAACUGACGUUGAGGCGCGAAAGCGUGGGUAGCAAACA
RNAcentral lists this ribosomal RNA (402 nucleotides) under uncultured bacterium. RNAcentral's name for it is "bacterial SSU rRNA". It matches the Rfam family "Bacterial small subunit ribosomal RNA", at positions 355 to 774 of the family's 1533-position model. The record is from RNAcentral.